AAAGCGUGCGUAGGCGGCUCGUUAAGUCAGAUGUGAAAGCCCCGGGCUCAACCUGGGAACUGCAUUUGAAACUGGUGAGCUAGAGUUGAGUAGAGGUAAGUGGAAUUUCAGGUGUAGCGGUGAAAUGCGUAGAUAUGCGGAGGAACACCAGUGGCGAAGGCGGUCUCCUGGUAUGCACCUGACACUCAGACGCGAAGGCUAGGGGAGCGAACGGGAUUAGAAACCCCGGUAGUCCUAGCAGUAAACGAUGAUUACUAGGUGUUAGUGGUAACCAAACCACUAGUGCCGAAGCUAACGCGAUAAGUAAUCCGCCUGGGGACUACGAUCGCAAGAUUAAAACUCAAAGGAAUUGACGGGGACCCGCACAAGCAGCGGAGCGUGUGGUUUAAUUCGAGGCUACGCGAAGAACCUUACCCAGGUUUGACAUGUAGGUAGUAGUGAAGCGAAAGCGGAACGACCCUUCGGGGAGCCUAUACAGGUGAUGCAUGGCUGUCGUCAGCUCGUGCCGUGAGGUGUUUGGUUAAGUCCACUAACGAGCGCAACCCUCGGGGCCAGUUACAAGUGUCUGGCGCGACUGCCGGUCUUAAGCCGGAGGAAGGUGGGGAUGACGUCAAGUCAGCAUGUCCUUUAUAUCUGGGGCUACACACACGCUACAAUGGGUAACACAAUGGGUUGCCAAGCCGCGAGGCGGAGCCAAUCCUAAAAAGUUGCCCUCAGUUCAGAUCGCAGGCUGCAACUCGC
RNAcentral lists this ribosomal RNA (741 nucleotides) under uncultured bacterium. RNAcentral's name for it is "bacterial SSU rRNA". It matches the Rfam family "Bacterial small subunit ribosomal RNA", at positions 562 to 1315 of the family's 1533-position model. The record is from RNAcentral.